This 468-nucleotide ribosomal RNA is filed under the name uncultured bacterium. RNAcentral's name for it is "partial 16S ribosomal RNA". It matches the Rfam family "Bacterial small subunit ribosomal RNA", at positions 28 to 507 of the family's 1533-position model. The record is from RNAcentral.
GACGAACGCUGGCGGCGUGCUUAACACAUGCAAGUCGAACGGAAAGGCCCUGCUUUUGUGGGGUGCUCGAGUGGCGAACGGGUGAGUAACACGUGAGUAACCUGCCCUUGACUUUGGGAUAACUUCAGGAAACUGGGGCUAAUACCGGAUAGGAGCUCCUGCUGCAUGGUGGGGGUUGGAAAGUUUCGGCGGUUGGGGAUGGACUCGCGGCUUAUCAGCUUGUUGGUGGGGUAGUGGCUUACCAAGGCUUUGACGGGUAGCCGGCCUGAGAGGGUGACCGGCCACAUUGGGACUGAGAUACGGCCCAGACGCCUACGGGAGGCAGCAGGGGGGAAUAUUGCACAAGGGGCGGAAGCCUGAUGCAGCAACGCCGCGUGCGGGAUGACGGCCUUCGGGUUGUAAACCGCUUUCGCCUGGGACGAAGCGUGAGUGACGGUAAUGGGUAAAGAAGCACCGGCUAACUACGUG